UGGAAGGACAGAGCACACAGCUUGAUACACAAAACAGGUCUUACAAAUGUUAGUUCAGGUGUAAAAUAUUCUAUUCUUUAGCAUGUAAAUGGACAAAGAUUCUGUCACUAAUCAGAGGUUGUUUUAUUUAUAAAUCAAUCAAUCACAGGCCCAGUGGAGAUAUAAAACUGAGGUCACUGGAUCUCAGAGGACCUAGAAUCAAUGUGUUCCUCAGAGUGAAGGGGAAAACUGAGUUGCUUAUUUUUCCAAAUCUUCCUGACUGAGAUUCUGGUGUGGGGACACUGAAAAAUUAAUGGACCUCCAAAUUCUAUAGAAAUGGCACAGGAGGCCUAUCUGGAUGCCCACGCACUCACUGCAGAAAGGAACCCUGCUUGGAGAAUUUAUCACUUUCAGAGUGAAUGGUAACAAGCUUGUUCUUUGUCUAAGGGAAGACAUUACCUCAUCCUUCCAAGGUUGACUGGUACAAACAUAAGCCUGAAAAACGGCCCAGAGAAGGUGUAAGACCGGGGGCCUUACCAAACGCUCCGAGGAGCUGACUAGUGAAGCACACCCAGGAAUCCCAGCGGUGCC
This is a non-coding RNA of Heterocephalus glaber (naked mole-rat), 570 nucleotides long. The record is from RefSeq and is a predicted model, not a curated record. NCBI's taxonomy places the organism in Eukaryota, Metazoa, Chordata, Mammalia, Rodentia, Bathyergidae.